CGGGAUGUGGCGCAAUUGGUAGCGCACUCGCUUUGGGAGCGAGGGGUUGCCAGUUCGAGUCUGGCCAUCCCGACCA
This 76-nucleotide transfer RNA is filed under the name bacterium. Its description in RNAcentral is "tRNA-Pro". It matches the Rfam family "tRNA". From Rfam's summary of the family: Transfer RNA (tRNA) molecules are approximately 80 nucleotides in length. Their secondary structure includes four short double-helical elements and three loops (D, anti-codon, and T loops). RNAcentral also lists the same sequence under 4 other names. The record is from RNAcentral.